Clarias gariepinus (North African catfish) is the source of this 426-nucleotide long non-coding RNA. RefSeq lists it as uncharacterized. The transcript is spliced from 3 exons. The record is from RefSeq and is a predicted model, not a curated record. NCBI's taxonomy places the organism in Eukaryota, Metazoa, Chordata, Actinopteri, Siluriformes, Clariidae.
CCACCCCACUUUCUCCUCUUUGCUUAAUAAGCCCAGAAGCAAGUUUAUAUAUUCAUUUUUAUAUCAAAGUGCACAUCAAAAUGAUCAUUACCUCCAUCAGAAGCCAUGGUCUCCACUCCAUAUUGUCUCCUGCUGGUUCUGCUGGGACUCUCCAGCCUUCAGUCCAGCACAAUGGCACGAAAUGCAAAUGGGAAAACUAAUUCUGCUUUGAAUUUCAUAAAAGACCAUUCCCUGCAGCAAAUGUUGUCUCGUUCAUACAAACAAGAAUUGACUGAACAGUUCCUGGAGUCAUUUUUACUACAACAAAGGGUUUUCGUUUUUGUGUGGACCCUGAGGUGGACUGGGUGAAGAAGAUCAUCGAAAGUAAAACGUAAUCCUAAACAUCUGUCCAUAAGUUAUCUUUAUUUUGCAGAAUGCUUAUUUUUA